UACCUCUAACUCUAGUAUUUUUUCUUUGGAUAACAGAAGCAGACUAGUCCACUUUACACGUCGCUACUCAGGCCAAAUAAAGAUAGAUAAUACAGUGGCAAAAGGCUGGUUUUAUUCUCCGUUGCACAGCUUGAAUUCUUCCUUGUUCAAUGUGCGACAAAAGAAAUCCCAUUUUGUGGUUCCUAAGUCUAAGCAGCACAAAUUCUAUUUUCACUUAGUCUAUUAAGUGAGUCUAGUCUCACAGUGUAAGACAGCAAUACUCACGACUGUGCUAAUACAUCUAACUUUGUUGCUACACUAUACAAAGUAAUAUUUUUUAUCCUGUCAUCUUUAGAAAAGUGUAAGAAAUGAUUUGAGAUCCUGAGCUGUGGAGAGCCUGCUUUCAGAACCUGCUGACUGGUGCUUCUCUGACAUCAACUGUAGCUUUGCUAAGAUGUUAACCCAACUUUCAGAAGAGAAGGGUUCAAUAUCCUGCCAUGGUACAGACACAUGGGCAAUCAAUCUGGUGUUUCAUUUCUACAUCUCUGAAAAAAAGACAUCUAUUCACCUAUACUCCAGAGAUCUUAUUCAGUGUCUUCUCAGCAAAACUACAGUCCUCCAGAGUCAAUUUUCCUAAUAGAGUCCUCCCUGACUAGGUUGGACAAAUGUCAUGUCCCCUGGCUCUAUCCAUCUUGUAAUGAAAAUUAGACCUAUUGCCAGCUACACCUUGCUGAUUGCUUCCUACCUGCUGCUAAGGAUAAUUUGUGCAGUGUAAAUGAAGACUUCAGCAGUUGGUGAAAGGAAAAAAGGUACAAGAAAGGGCUGAUGUUCAACAUUUACAAAAGACAGCCAAUAAAGACACAGUUCUGCUUAGCUGAAAAUGUGUA
RNAcentral lists this long non-coding RNA (866 nucleotides) under Numida meleagris (helmeted guineafowl). RNAcentral's name for it is "lncRNA (ENSNMEG00000006511.1)". Lineage: Eukaryota; Metazoa; Chordata; Aves; Galliformes; Numididae. The record is from RNAcentral.